Lethenteron reissneri (Far Eastern brook lamprey) is the source of this 823-nucleotide long non-coding RNA. RefSeq lists it as uncharacterized. The record is from RefSeq and is a predicted model, not a curated record. Lineage: Eukaryota; Metazoa; Chordata; Hyperoartia; Petromyzontiformes; Petromyzontidae.
AAAAAACUGUGGAAGUCUGUUCGAGACAAUCAGAAUCGCCUGUAACCAGAAUGAGUGGCGCCUCUUCAUUGACGGCUCAACCAGGAGUCUCAAAGCCGUGCUGCUCCAUAAUGCAGGGACACCAAGGCGCACCACCACAGGUGGGGCUGGCCACAGCGGACCGAGUUCUCUGUGGGGAGGAACAACGUCAAGUGGGAGCCACUGGUGGACACCCGGAAGGUGCUUAUGCCACCACUGCACAUCAUAUUGGGCCUUAUGAAACAAUUUGUCAGAGCUGUAGAUUAGGAGUCGGCAGCCUUCAAUUACCUUCAAGACUUCUUCCCUAAGCCGUCUGAGGAAAAGGUCAAAGCCGGUGUCUUUAUCGGACCACAUAAAGAAGAUCCUGGAGUGCAAUUAAUUCCCCAAGAAGCUUACUAGUAAGGAGAAAGCGGCUUGGAACAGCUUUGCCGCAGUGGUUCGUGGCUUCCUGGGCAAUCAUAAUGUCGACAACUAUGCGGAGCUGGUUGAGACUGGUGAAGAACUACGGCACAAUGGGCUGUAGGAUGUCCCUCAAAGUCCAUAUCCUUGAGGCUCAUCUUGAUAAAUUCAAGAAGAACAUGGGAGCGUACUCGGAGGAGCAAGGCGAGUGCUUCCACCAGGAUAUACUGGACUUUGAACGCCGCUACCAAGGACAGUUUUACGAGAACAUGAUGGGAGACUACAUUUGGGGGCUGAUUCGUGAAAGUGAUUUACAGUAUAAUCGUAAAUCUCUAAAAACUACUCGCUUCGAAAUUUUUUGUAGUCACUUUUGUAUUACUUGAGUAUAAAUACAUGUUAAUUUUGA